Molecule: ribosomal RNA, 244 nt
Filed under: uncultured Staphylococcus sp.
Lineage: Bacteria; Bacillati; Bacillota; Bacilli; Caryophanales; Staphylococcaceae
Description: partial 16S ribosomal RNA
Rfam family: Bacterial small subunit ribosomal RNA
Source: RNAcentral
CGGCGGACGGGUGAGUAACACGUUGAUAACCUACCUAUAAGACUGGGAUAACUUCGGGAAACCGGAGCUAAUACCGGAUAAUAUAUUGAACCGCAUGGUUCAAUAGUGAAAGACGGUUUUGCUGUCACUUAUAGAUGGAUCCGCGCCGCAUUAGCUAGUUGGUAAGGUAACGGCUUACCAAGGCAACGAUGCGUAGCCGACCUGAGAGGGUGAUCGGCCACACUGGAACUGAGACACGGUCCAG